Molecule: RNA transcript, 2476 nt
Organism: Varanus komodoensis (Komodo dragon)
Lineage: Eukaryota; Metazoa; Chordata; Lepidosauria; Squamata; Varanidae
Gene: RPA3
Gene name: replication protein A3
Exons: 5
Source: RefSeq, a predicted model, not a curated record
GUAGUUUGCACGCGUCCCUUGUUACCGUGGUAAUGCUGCUUGGGCUUCGCCAAAGGAGCGGAAGUAGAAGUUUCCCGCCAAUGUGGGUAGCAUAACGUCUAUAGAGAAGGAGGAGGAGAGUUGGUUUGUUCUGUCUCUUAACUCCGAAAUGGCGGACAUAUUCGAAGGGCCCCGGGUUCGUGUUGCUGCAAGUCAGCUGGCGCAAUAUGUUGGAAAAUCCGUGUGUUUCGUGGGACGUCUAGAAAAGAUCCAUCCAUCAGGAAAAUUCUUCUUCCUAGCAGAUGGAGAGGGAAAAACUGCAACUGUUGAGCUAAACACACCACUUGAAGAAGAGAUCUCUGGAGUCAUUGAAGUAGUAGGAAGAGUAACAAAUCAGCUAAACAUAGUCUGUGGAUCAUAUACCCAAUUCAGAGAAGAUAAAAGUGUGUUUGAUCUUGUGAUGUAUAAUGAAGCUCUAAAAGUUAUUCAUGACUUUCCUGAGUAUUACCCUUUUGGUAUUAAUGCAUGACUGACAUUCUUCUUGACAACUUCAAAGUGGACAAUUCUGUUAAGGAACACAUCAGGAAAAAUGUUUACAGUCACUUUAGACAGUCUGGUAUGCUUAUGAUCUGGUACAGAAACUUUUGCAUUGUGUUAUCCUUCCUGUUGGACUUAAGUUAUGGUGCAAUCUUGAUGGAGAAAAAUUUGUCCCCGGUGAAAGACAAGAUUGCCCAGCCUAUUGCCACUCAAGUCACCACCUUUGGACUGCCUCAUGCUAAAAUCAGAGCACAGCACUAUCAGUAGAGCCCUUCCUGGACUGAUGCAGCACCAGCCAGCCAACCAAUCUAUGUAGGAAGGUUGUGGAACAGUGACCUUAAACCGCAAGUCAAGUCAAAAUUUAUUCUUUAAUCCCAAAGGGGGGAGCAGUUGUAUUAACCAAAAUAAAAUAAGUUAAAACCUUUCAGUCUCUAGAAAUACACAUCUGCUCAAAUGUUUGAGAACUGACACUAGAGGUCAGAGCUAAUGUCUUUACAGUUGAGUUACUAACCUUCAAGUGCUGGGCUAGAUGCUGGAUGUUCAUACAAUGCUUCACAGUGUACAGAAUGUACUGACAGAGCAGUUCUACAUACUUAAAAGGCAUAUACAUGCAAAACUGCAUCAUUUGAAGCAGAUUAGUACAAGAUUAAGAUAAUAAAAUACAGCUCCUUUUAUUUUACAAAAUAUACUGUUUUUAGACACCCAGGUUAUACAUUAAUCAUUCCUAUUUACAUCAUAGCCUUUUAAUUAUGAAAAGCAACUGUUAAUCUUUGUCAAUCUUACAAAAAUACAGUAGCUUUAAUAUUUUGUACAUUUCAAUAUAUAGAUCAAACAAUAAAAAUUCAAUUCUGACUGGAUGUGGCCUUUGACAAAGUUAAUUAUAGUAAAAGGUAAUGUAACUGCAUACACAAAAAUAAAUAUUAUUUUUCCCUAUACAAAUCUUGUCUUUCUAGAAAUAACAUGCCUUGGAUCCACAGUGCCCAGUGUCCAAGUAACUUCCAUAUGUGCAUGCACACACCUGGAGCUAGCCCAUUCCUGCCACUCCCUGCUGCAGGCCCUGCACCACAUUGUCAUUCUGAAAUGUUUCAUAAGCAGCUUUUCAGGAAGCACAAGGGACUACAAUGGGAAAAGAGGCAAGAAAGCCAAGGUGCAUGCACUGAUUAUUGCACACGGUUCUUUGGCUCCAAGCCCCCUAUAAUUAAAACAAAAAUAUAAGAUUGUCUGUUAGGCAACUGUAAUGUAUCCCAAAAGUUUUCCUAUUUGGGAGAAAUCUUGCACUUGAGAGUUUGGUAGAAGCAGCCACUACUAUAAUGAUGGCAGUUGACACCCCAUGCUACCUAGAUGUUGUAAACAGCUUUUACUGUGUCUGUUUUUCAUUGUACGUUUCACGUUUUCUGAUGCAAAUGAAUAACUCGCAGCAAAACUUGGAUUAUGUAAUUCAUACUAAUAUUGUAGGAAUACAGGUAUGCCUUGUUUUCAGUGAUUGCUAUUCCAAGUCAUUGAGGUGGCAUUUGUGUCUCAUCCACUAGUUUAUAAUCAAUUUGAAACUUUUAAACCGUAGUUAUACUAAUUUUGGGUGCUCAGAGUAUGUCAUUAUGAAUUUGGAACAUUAUUUACUUGUACAAACUAAACAAGAGUUCAGCUCACCUGAAGAUUGUCUUUGGAGUUUAACAGAAUAGCUCUACAAUGUGAGCAAACUAUAGAUGGAAACUUUAAUGGGGUUUGAUAUCUAAACUGGAAAAAGUACAUAGAAACAUUUGGAUGUAUUAUACAGCACAACUCAGAACACUGUUUUUCCAAGAACAGUUCUCAAAAGUUCAUGAAACAAUACACAACACUGGUUCCUGUAGCUUGGAAGCCUUAAGAUCUGGGCAGUGUAGUACUGCAAGUCUUUGACAGGUGCUUUGCAUUUCAGUAAGUUUGUAUAAAUGUCUUUGAAAUAAAAUGCUUCACAACUGAA